ACAUGGACAGGAAGUUACAGAGAUGGUUCGUGCUCGAAAGAGAACCUGCACACAGGUGCUGCAUGGCUGUCGUCAGCUCGUGUCGUGAGAUGUUGGUUAAGUCCCGCAACGAGCGCAACCCUUGCCAUCAGUUGCUACGAAAGGGCACUCUGAUGGGACUGCCGGUGACAAACCGGAGGAAGGUGGGGAUGACGUCAAGUCCUCAUGGCCCUUAUAGGUGGGGCUACACACGUCAUACAAUGGCCGGUACAAAGGGCAGCCAACCCGCGAGGGGGAGCCAAUCCCAUAAAGCCGGUCGUAGUCCGGAUCGCAGUCUGCAACUCGACUGCGUGAAGUCGGAAUCGCUAGUAAUCGUGGAUCAGCAUGUCACGGUGAAUACGUUCCCGGGUCUU
This 392-nucleotide ribosomal RNA is filed under the name uncultured Hydrogenophaga sp. RNAcentral describes it as "bacterial SSU rRNA". It matches the Rfam family "Bacterial small subunit ribosomal RNA", at positions 984 to 1382 of the family's 1533-position model. The record is from RNAcentral. Lineage: Bacteria; Pseudomonadati; Pseudomonadota; Betaproteobacteria; Burkholderiales; Comamonadaceae.